GACGAACGCUAGCGGCGUGCUCAACACAAGCAAGCCGAACGGGGAGGCCCUGCGUAUGUGGGGUGGACGAGGGGCGAACGGGUGUGUAACACGUGGGUAACGUACCCCUGACUUUGGGAUAACCUCGCGACAGUCGCGCAAAGACCGGGGAGGAGAGGCUGGUGCAUGGAGGGGGGGGGAAAGAUUCGGCGGAUGGGGAUGGAAUCGCGGCUUAUCAGCCUGUGCGUGGGGUAGUCGCUUACCACGGCUGUGACGGGUAGCCGACCUGAGAGGGUGACCGGCCACAUUGGGCCUGAGCUACGGCCCAGACUCGUGCGGGAGGCGACAGUGGGGAGUAUUGCACAAUGGGCGGAAGCCUGAUGCAGCACCGCCGCGUGCGGGAUGACGGCCUUCGGGUUGUCACCCGCUUUCGCCUGUGACGAAGCGUGAGUGGCGGUACUGGGGAAAGAAGCACCGGCUAACUACGU
Molecule: ribosomal RNA, 467 nt
Filed under: uncultured bacterium
Lineage: Bacteria
Description: partial 16S ribosomal RNA
Rfam family: Bacterial small subunit ribosomal RNA
Source: RNAcentral